ACUUCUGUUGUGAUGCAACCACUACGGAUGUAACGGGUAUUACCCGAGUGUCCGAGAGCGCAAACAAACCGUGUGGAUACUUCCGUUGCCUUCCUUCUGAUCUUUGCC
RNAcentral lists this small nucleolar RNA (108 nucleotides) under Fomitiporia mediterranea MF3/22. RNAcentral describes it as "Small nucleolar RNA Z13/snr52". It matches the Rfam family "Small nucleolar RNA Z13/snr52". Rfam says of the family: Z13 or snr52 is a member of the C/D class of snoRNA which contain the C (UGAUGA) and D (CUGA) box motifs. Most of the members of the box C/D family function in directing site-specific 2'-O-methylation of substrate RNAs. Lineage: Eukaryota; Fungi; Basidiomycota; Agaricomycetes; Hymenochaetales; Hymenochaetaceae. The record is from Rfam by way of RNAcentral.